AUUGAACGCUGGCGGCAUGCCUAACACAUGCAAGUCGAGCGGAUGAAGGGUGCUUGCUCCUGGAUUCAGCGGCGGACGGGUGAGUAAUACCUAGGAAUCUGCCUGGUAGUGGGGGAUAACGUCCGCAAACGGGCGCUAAUACCACAUACGUGCUGAGGCAGAAAGAGGGGGAUCUUUGGAACGCAUGCUCUCAUGUGAGUCUAGGUCCGAUUAAAUAGUUGGUGGGGUAAGUGCCGACCAAGGCGGCCAUCCGUGACUGGUCUGAGAGGCUGAUCAGUCACACUGGAGCUGGGACACGGUCCAGACUCCUACGGGAGGCAGCAGUGGGGAACAUUGGACAGUGGGCGAAAGCCUGAUCCAGCCAUGCCGCGUGUGUGAAGGAGGUCUUCGGAUUGUAAAGCACUUUUAGUUGGGGGGAAGGGCAGUAAGUUAAUACCUUGCUGUUUUGACGGUACCAACAGAAGAAGCACCGGCUAACUACGUG
Molecule: ribosomal RNA, 484 nt
Filed under: uncultured bacterium
Lineage: Bacteria
Description: partial 16S ribosomal RNA
Rfam family: Bacterial small subunit ribosomal RNA
Source: RNAcentral